CGUUGCAUAUCGGGAAGCGGAGGAAAAGAAACCAACAGGGAUUGCCCCAGUAACGGCGAGUGAAGCGGCAAGAGCUCAAAUUUGAAAUCUGGCCUCCCCCGGGGGCCCGAGUUGUAAUUUGCAGAGGAUGUUUCGGGUGCGGCCGCCGUCUAAGUUCCUUGGAACAGGACGUCAGAGAGGGUGAGAAUCCCGUCUUGGGCGGGCGGUCCGCGCCCGUGUGAAGCUCCUUCGACGAGUCGAGUUGUUUGGGAAUGCAGCUCUAAGCGGGUGGUAAAUUUCAUCUAAAGCUAAAUAUUGGCCGGAGACCGAUAGCGCACAAGUAGAGUGAUCGAAAGGUUAAAAGCACCUUGAAAAGGGAGUUAAACAGCACGUGAAAUUGUUGAAAGGGAAGCGCUUGCGGCCAGACUCGGGGGCGGGGUUCAGCGGGUGCUCGUCGCCCGUGUAUUCCUCGUUUCCCGGGCCAGCAUCAGUUUCGACGGCCGGUCAAAGGCCCCCGGAAUGUGUCGUCUCUCGGGACGUCUUAUAGCCGGGGGUGCAAUGCGGCCCGUCGGGACUGAGGAACGCGCUCCGGCUCGGAUGCAAUCU
Molecule: ribosomal RNA, 585 nt
Filed under: Trichophyton tonsurans
Lineage: Eukaryota; Fungi; Ascomycota; Eurotiomycetes; Onygenales; Arthrodermataceae
Description: partial large subunit ribosomal RNA
Rfam family: Eukaryotic large subunit ribosomal RNA
Source: RNAcentral